CUUGACUGUAUCCUGGAAUUGGGUUCGGGCUUUUCUUGCGCAGCCUAGGUGGGAGGCUAUGAAGAUUUCCUUCCGGGGGAGUUGGAGCCAUCAGUGAGAGACCACUCUGGAGAGGCUAGAAUCCUAAUGGUGAUCCUUUGAUCAGGACACUUGACGUUUUCAGGUGGGCAGUUUGUUUGGGGCGAACACCUCAUAAAAGGUAACUGAGGUGCGCAAAGGUUCCCUCGGUCUGGACGGAAAUCAGACUAAAGAGUGUAAAGGCAAAAGGGAGCUUGACUGUAAGACCUACAAGUCGAACAGGGGCGAAAGCCGGCCUUAGUGAUCCGACGGUUCCAUGUGGAGGGGCCGUCGCUCAACGGAUAAAAGUUA
RNAcentral lists this ribosomal RNA (369 nucleotides) under uncultured organism. RNAcentral's name for it is "bacterial LSU rRNA". It matches the Rfam family "Bacterial large subunit ribosomal RNA", at positions 2099 to 2465 of the family's 2925-position model. The record is from RNAcentral.